RNAcentral lists this ribosomal RNA (297 nucleotides) under Triticum aestivum (bread wheat). Its description in RNAcentral is "partial small subunit ribosomal RNA". It matches the Rfam family "Eukaryotic large subunit ribosomal RNA", at positions 1890 to 2184 of the family's 3401-position model. The record is from RNAcentral. Lineage: Eukaryota; Viridiplantae; Streptophyta; Magnoliopsida; Poales; Poaceae.
AUGGAACAAUGUAGGCAAGGGAAGUCGGCAAAACGGAUCCGUAACUUCGGGAAAAGGAUUGGCUCUGAGGACUGGGCUCGAGGGUCCCGGCCCCGAACCCGUCGGCUGUCGGCGGAUUGCUCGAGCUGCUCACGCGGCGAGAGCGGGUCGCCGCGUGCCGGCCGGGGGACGGACCGGGAAUCGCCCCUUCGGGGGCUUUCCCCGAGCAUGAAACAGUCGACUCAGAACUGGUACGGACAAGGGGAAUCCGACUGUUUAAUUAAAACAAAGCAUUGCGAUGGUCCUCGCGGAUGCUGA